RNAcentral lists this long non-coding RNA (1147 nucleotides) under Anas platyrhynchos platyrhynchos (common mallard). RNAcentral's name for it is "lncRNA (ENSAPLG00000024130.1)". Lineage: Eukaryota; Metazoa; Chordata; Aves; Anseriformes; Anatidae. The record is from RNAcentral.
GAUGUUAUCAGACUUGAGUGCAGCUGAAAAGUAGGUUUCCAUACUGCUGGUAAGAAGGUGCUGCUGCAGAUGUCUGCUCACCAAGGACACCAAUUAACUUCCCAUAAGAAGUUAAUUAACUACUCCAACCAUAAGAAAACACCUAGCAUGGGGAAUUAAAUGGCAUUUCCAGCAAUCUUCUAGGAUGAUUCGAGACAUGUUCCGAGGAAGGAAUCCUUUGUACCAAAAGAAUCUGGAUAUAGCACAUAUGUUUGCCUGCUGGCAUCCCAAGAAGUGUUACCUCUCUCCCAACAGAAGGCUCACACUUUAUAGCUCCUGGAAAGUAACAUGUUUGCCUUCAAUAAAUAACAUGCAUUUUAAAGAAAACAUCUGGAUAAAAAUUGUGCUUGGCUUUUUAAAAUAUAGAAUUAAAAAGAAAUCGUAUUAAAGAAAAGUAGUGCAAUAAUAGUAGAGCUUGCUAUCAUAGAAAAAAUCAAUUUAACUUAUAUAGGUGGACUUCUAUGGGAUACAUACUAUAAAAUCACACUACAGAAUUUUCCAAAUAGAGAACACAGGGACCACUGAAGGAGUGGUAGAAGAUAUUUCAUUAAUGAAACAAAGGCAGCAAAUAGAGAUUAAAAAAAAAAAAAAAAAGUGUAGGUGUAGAGAUUUUAUUACAGUGCUUAGCAAUGUAGUCAUCAAUAACAGCAGAAAAUGCUAAGGGAAGGAACGUAUGGAAGCAUUAGAAACAGGAUCAAGUUAUAAGCUCUGGGAGAAAACAGAAUCCAGGAUAUAGGGAGGAGAUACCUAGGAAUGGUAAUGUCAGGAAAGGUCCUGAAGAAAUACAAACCAUCAAAUUAGUUAUCAGUCCAAGAAAGAGCAGCUUUUACAGGAAUAGAAAUAUUAACAGAACGUAUUAAAAAUGUUUAUUUUUAUAUAACACAUUUCUAGGCACCUAGUUAACAUAAUAUACAGAUGGACACAAGAAUGUUUAGUGACGGGUAAAAAUAAUAACUGAGGGGCUAGUUUACAAGAAAGUCAAAGUCCUAUAACAUGGCUGAAAAGUAGCUAACAGGGCAUACACUACUAGUCUAUCACUAAAGUAUGAAGUCAACCAGGAGCACAGCAAAGUUUUAUAGCAUAAUAAAAAGAGUUGUAAAAAGGAGCA